RNAcentral lists this ribosomal RNA (401 nucleotides) under uncultured Staphylococcus sp. RNAcentral describes it as "bacterial SSU rRNA". It matches the Rfam family "Bacterial small subunit ribosomal RNA", at positions 975 to 1375 of the family's 1533-position model. Lineage: Bacteria; Bacillati; Bacillota; Bacilli; Caryophanales; Staphylococcaceae. The record is from RNAcentral.
CAAAUCUUGACAUCCUCUGAUCCCUCUAGAGAUAGAGUUUUCCCCUUCGGGGGACAGAGUGACAGGUGGUGCAUGGUUGUCGUCAGCUCGUGUCGUGAGAUGUUGGGUUAAGUCCCGCAACGAGCGCAACCCUUAAGCUUAGUUGCCAUCAUUAAGUUGGGCACUCUAAGUUGACUGCCGGUGACAAACCGGAGGAAGGUGGGGAUGACGUCAAAUCAUCAUGCCCCUUAUGAUUUGGGCUACACACGUGCUGCAAUGGACAGUACAAAGGGCAGCGAAACCGCGAGGUCAAGCAAAUCCCAUAAAGUUGUUCUCAGUUCGGAUUGUAGUCUGCAACUCGACUAUAUGAAGCUGGAAUCGCUAGUAAUCGUAGAUCAGCAUGCUACGGUGAAUACGUUCCC